This 495-nucleotide long non-coding RNA is filed under the name Hordeum vulgare. Its description in RNAcentral is "long non-coding RNA (HVUL_LNC005779)". Lineage: Eukaryota; Viridiplantae; Streptophyta; Magnoliopsida; Poales; Poaceae. The record is from RNAcentral.
UUUGUCUUCGUUUGAUUCAUAGGAUAGAACUAUCAUAAAAAUAGGAAUAUCAUACCAAAAUGAGAUCACAUGCAUCUUAAUUUCUAUAGUGAAAGAGAUGUGAAUUGAUUCAUAGGAUAACAACUUUUUCGGUUAGGCUAAUAUUGUUUCCAUUCAAAAAUGGAUGACUGGUUUCUAUCCUAACAAUGAACAGAAAUCUAUCUCUCCCUAAUAAUAAAGCACGGAUGGCUCGCGGCGUUUUUACAAAAUAGUCCCUCAUGUUAUGUAAAAUUAACCCGCACUCCAUGUUUAAGUCAAAUAGAAAAACGGUUCGUUUCGUUUUUUGUAGAACACCCCCCGCUGUUACUAGAAAUCAACCCGUAGCCCGCGCCUGUUAGCUUGCUCUCAUAUCCAUGGGCGGCGCCAUUGUUGUGGUGGAGCUGUUGCUUCCUGUUUCAGGUCUUGCUGCAAGUCGCAGUCAGGGGAUUGAGUAGACCAGGCUAGGGACAGAGGACA